AAUAAAAAUUGCAACAAUAAAAUCCUAACUAUAAUAGAAUACUAACUAAACUAUAAUUAUAUCAUAAUAAUACUAAGCAAGCUUUAAUCAAAUUCAAAGAAACUUCAAAGAAAUUUCAAAGAAAUAAUAAAAAAUCUUAAAGAAAUAUUAAAAUGAUCAAAAAUAUAUCUUAAAUACAUCUCAAUUCAAUCUUAAUUUAAUCCUAGUUAAAAUCCUAUUGGACUUCAUUCAAAAUUUUGGCCAAAACUAAUUAAAUCUUAAAUCCUAAAAAAAUCCUAAUAAAAACUUAAAUCCUAAUAAAAUCUUAAAUCCUAAAAAAAAUCCUAAAUCCUAAACCAAAUCCUAAACCCUAAACCAAAUCCUAACCAAAUCUUAAAUCAAAUUCUAUCCAAACCCUAAAUCAAACCCUAAGUAAAUCUUAAAUCCCAAAUCAAACCCUAAACAAACCUUAAACCAAAUUCUAUCCAAAUUCUAAUCCAAACUCUAAAUCCUAAAUCAAAUCCUAACCAAAUCCUAACCAAACCUUAACCAAAUCUUAAACCAAACCCUAACCAAACCCUAACCAAACCCUAACCAAACCUUAAUCAAACCCUUAACCAAACUCUAACCAAUCUCUAAACAAAUCCUAAAUCAAAUUCUAACUAAACCUUAAACCAAAGUCUAACUAAUUCCUAAAUAAAUCCUAAAUCAAACCCUAACUAAACCUUAAACCCUAAACCAAAUCCUAAAUUCUAAAUCAAAUCCUAAUCAAAUCCUAAAUCCUAAUCUAAAUCCUAACUAAACCUUAAACUCUAAACCAAAUCCUAAAUUCUAAAUCAAAUCCUAAAUCCUAAACAAAAUCCUAACCAAACCCUAAAUGAAAUCCUAACCAAAUCCUAAAUAAAACCCUAACCAAAUUCUAAACCCUAAACCAAA
This 915-nucleotide long non-coding RNA is filed under the name Physcomitrium patens. RNAcentral describes it as "long non-coding RNA (PPAT_LNC002638)". The record is from RNAcentral. Lineage: Eukaryota; Viridiplantae; Streptophyta; Bryopsida; Funariales; Funariaceae.